ACGAACGCUGGCGGCAUGCCUAACACAUGCAAGUCGAACGAUUGCCUUCGGGUGAUAGUGGCGCACGGGUGCGUAACGCGUGGGAAUCUGCCCUUAGGUUCGGAAUAACAGCUGGAAACGGCUGCUAAUACCGGAUGAUAUCGCGAGAUCAAAGAUUUAUCGCCUGAGGAUGAGCCCGCGUUGGAUUAGGUAGUUGGUGGGGUAAAGGCCUACCAAGCCGACGAUCCAUAGCUGGUCUGAGAGGAUGAUCAGCCACACUGGGGCUGAGACACGGCCCAGACUCCUACGGGAGGCAGCAGUGGGGAAUAUUGGACAAUGGGCGCAAGCCUGAUCCAGCAAUGCCGCGUGAGUGAUGAAGGCCCUAGGGUUGUAAAGCUCUUUUACCCGGGAAGAUAAUGACUGUACCGGGAGAAUAAGCCCCGGCUAACUCCGUG
RNAcentral lists this ribosomal RNA (434 nucleotides) under uncultured bacterium. RNAcentral describes it as "partial 16S ribosomal RNA". It matches the Rfam family "Bacterial small subunit ribosomal RNA", at positions 29 to 507 of the family's 1533-position model. The record is from RNAcentral.